Molecule: transfer RNA, 74 nt
Filed under: Pteropus alecto (black flying fox)
Lineage: Eukaryota; Metazoa; Chordata; Mammalia; Chiroptera; Pteropodidae
Rfam family: tRNA
About the family: Transfer RNA (tRNA) molecules are approximately 80 nucleotides in length. Their secondary structure includes four short double-helical elements and three loops (D, anti-codon, and T loops).
Source: Rfam by way of RNAcentral
GGCUCUAUAGUGUAGUGGUUAGCAAGUCUGCUUUGCAAGCAGAAGGUCCUGGGUUCACUCUCCAGGUGGAGCCA